Molecule: ribosomal RNA, 497 nt
Filed under: uncultured bacterium
Lineage: Bacteria
Description: partial 16S ribosomal RNA
Rfam family: Bacterial small subunit ribosomal RNA
Source: RNAcentral
GAUGAACGCUGGCGGCGUGCCUAAUACAUGCAAGUCGAGCGAACGGACGAGAAGCUUGCUGCUCUGAUGUUAGCGGCGGACGGGUGAGUAACACGUGGAUAACCUACCUAUAAGACUGGGAGAACUUCGGGAAACCGGUGCUAAUACCGGAGAAUAUUUUGAACCGCAUGGUUGAAAAGUGAAAGACGGUCUUGCUGUCACUUAGAGAUGGAUCCGCGCUGCAUUAGCUAGUUGGUAAGGUAACGGCUUACCAAGGCAACGAUGCCUAGCCGACCUGAGAGGGUGAUCGGCCACACUGGAACUGAGACACGGUCCAGCCUCCUACGGGAGGCAGCAGUAGGGAAUCUUACGCAAAGGGCGGCAGCCUGACGGAGCAGCGCCGCGUGAGUGAUGAAGGUCUUCGGAUCGUAAAACUCUGUUAUUAGGGAAGAACAUAUGUGUAAGUAACUGUGCACAUCUUGACGGUACCUAAUCAGAAAGCCACGGCUAACUACGUG